Molecule: non-coding RNA, 226 nt
Organism: Phasianus colchicus (ring-necked pheasant)
Lineage: Eukaryota; Metazoa; Chordata; Aves; Galliformes; Phasianidae
Source: RefSeq, a predicted model, not a curated record
UCGUCUUCCACUGCCGUCCUGAGGGGAGCAGCCAUAGCAGUUCGGGGGUUGCUGUAAUCUGGCUCCAUCUGGCUCCAUCCUGCUCUGGGGUGCUGCAGGGCAGUUGUGAGAGCUGAGCUCCAAGGAUGGUGCGCUACUCACUGGAUCCAGAGAACCCCACCAAGUCAUGCAAGUCCAGGGGCUCCAACCUGCGUGUGCACUUCAAGAACACUCGUGAGACUGCCCA